AUGUUUUUUAUUUGUUGUAAACAGCCGCAGCGGAAGGCCGCUGAAGACCAGAAUGUGGAGGACAGCUGGGAGUGCUGGGACGACGGCGCCGACGGAUCCGAGGGACAGGGAGACGCCACAGCAGCCGGAACAGCCGGGACAGAAAACUCGGGGGCGGGACUCGUGGACAUAGCCCUGGGCAACAGCGAUGUGUCCCGCCUGAACGAUCGCAUCGCGGAGCUGGAACAGCUCAACGCACAGUUGAACGCCUCGUUGGAGGAGCUGGACGCCCAGCACGAGCUGGCCAUGCGGGAUGUGCUGGGGCGCAAAGAGCAGCUGCAGCUGCAGGUGGGGGAGCUGAGGCAGCGGCAGGCGGACCGCAUGGUCGAGCACGAGAUGGCCAUUGCCCGGCAGCAGAAGCAGCUGGAGGAGCACAGCAGGGCGGAGAGUGCCCUGGCGGCGGCCAAUGAGGAGCUGCAGCAGAAGCUGGAGCAGCAGGCGCUGGAGCUGAAGCAGGGAGUGCUGGAGCUGGCCGGGAUGCAGGAGCUGCUGGAAAAGCGGGGCGCGGACAAUGGCGAGCUGAUCGAUCGCGUUCGCCUGGCCGAGGCGGAGCGGGAGAAACUGCUCAAGGAGCUGGAUGACCUCAAGCUGGCCAAGGAGAAAAAGACCUCUGAGUCGUCCUCUAACAGCUCCUCCACCUCCACCAAGCACAGUGAGGACGAGUUCAUUGUGGUGCGACAGGCGGAUGCCAUCUCCGGCUCCGGCUCCGGCUCUGGCUCCGAUCCAGACCCCGAUCCGGACCCCACGCAACCCCCGUCUAAGGAGAAGCUGCGCGACAAGCUCGUGGCCCUCGAGACGCGCAUCGCGGAGCUCAGCCUGGCCAACAGCCAGCUGCAGGACGCCCAGCUGGAGAAGGAGCUCUCCUCCAGCCUUCUGGGCGAUCAGCUGGCCGAGCUGGAGACCCGCCUGCGCAUCAGCGAGGGCGAGAAGGAGCAGCUGCAGCUGGAGCUGCAGUUCAAGCUGCAACAGCUCACCAUGCAAAACCAGGAGCUCAAGCUGAACGCCGAGGCGGAGCAGGAGACCCACACGCACGACUUGGAGCAGCAAAUGGACACCCUGCGCGCCGACAAUCGGCGACUGCGCCAGGAGCUGGACGCCAGCAUAGCCCAGGCCAAGUUCCGGCAGGCCAUUGCCGAGGAGAAGCAGGAGAUCACCGACCUGGACGACGCCGAGGCGGACGACGAGGACGAGCUGGAGAAGCUUCGGUCCCUCCUGCAGGCCCAGAUUGAGGACCGCCUCUCCACGGCAGCGCCGCAGCAGAGCCUGGAGCGGGCCUACCGCGUCCUGAGCGAGCGCUGGCAGCGCCUCGACGUCGCCGAGAAGCGGCUGCUGGAGCUGCAGGACCAGCAGCGGAUCAGCGAUCACGAGAAGAAGACCUUGGAGGCAGACAUCUCGCAGUACAUUCUUCAGUGCGACGAUCUGAUGAAGAACAACGAGGUUCUACUCAACGAACUGGACAAGUUCAAGCGCAACAAGCUGGAGACCAUCGAGGAGCACCACGAGGAAACCAUUGUUCAGCUGGAGGGCCAGCUGGAGGAGGCCAGGCGCCGCCUUGAGACGGCGCACGAAGCCCAGAAGCGGCUCCAAUUGAAGCUGGAUGCGGAGGCGUCCCAGGCGGAGAAAGAGAAGGAGCAGGAGGACGACCGAGGCCAGAAGGAACAGGAGCUGAAAGAGUGCCGGACCAGGCUCUCCCAGAAGGAGUCGCAGCUAGAAGAGAUGCAGCGGCAGGUGGAAGAGCUCCACGCUGCCCAGGAGUACCACAAGUCCCAUCUGGCGAAGCUCCACGACCAGAUCCAUGCCAAGGACGCGCAGCUGGAGGAGCAAUGCUUGCAUUUGGAGCAGCUCAAAGCGCAGAUCAAUGGCAAGGACGAGCAACUGGGAGGGAGAGACUAUGAGCAGAUCUUUGAGCUGGAGAGGCUCACAGAACAGAUCCAGGCCAAGGAAGAGCAGCUGGAGAAGCAGGCCACUGAUCUGGAGCAGCUCACAGAACAGGUCCAGGCCAAGGAAGAGCAGCUGAAGAAGCAGGCCACUGAUCUGGAGCAGCUCACAGAACAGGUCCAGGCCAAGGAAGAGCAGCUGGAGAAGCAGGCCACUGAUCUGGAGCAGCUCACAGAACAGGUCCAGGCCAAGGAAGAGCAGCUGGAGAAGCAGGCCACUGAUCUGGAGCAGCUCACAGAACAGGUCCAGGCCAGGGACGAGCAGCUGAGCACAUUUCAGCAGAGCGAGGAUAAGUUGAAGCAAAUGGUCCAGCAGACCUACGACAGCCUUAGCCAGGAGAAGAUAGAGCUGAUCCACGCGGUCCAGCAGAAGCACGCGGAGAACACCCAGUACUAUGAGGAGAUCCAGCGCCUGCAGCCUUUCGCGCAGCAGGUCGCCGAGCUGGUCCGCGAGCGCGAGACGCUGCAGGAGCAGGUGAGGAGAGUGCAGGAGCUCAAGGAGAAGUCGGAAAUGCGCAUCACGAGCCUGUUGGCGGAGCAGAGCAGCCAGGCCCAGGCGGCCCGGGAGGCCCAGGAGCAGCAGGCAAGCGUCCAACGCGAUCUGGAGCGGCUGCGUGCCCAUCUCCUCGAGGUGGAGGAGCUGCACACCCAGGAGACAGUGGACCUGCAGCGCGAGCUGGACGAGUCGCGCACCAAGCUGACGGUCCUCCAGCAGGAGGUCUCCAAGUCGAGCACCGCGUACACUUCAGCCAGCAUUCGGGCGAACCAACAGGCGGAGACGCUGCAGACCCAGCAUGCCCUGCUCCAGCAGCAGCGGGACGAGCUGCUGGCCAAACUGGGGCAGUGCGAGGACCGCGAGAUGAAGCAGCAGGCGGCACUGACCAAUCUGCAGUGCGCCCUGGAACAGUUCCAGAACGACAAGGAGCACGACAUUGAGAUGGCCACCCAGCGCAUCCGCCGCGAGAUGAAGGCCCACUUGGACAGGCAGGACCGACUGCAGGCGGAAAUGGAGGCCAUGCAGCAGCAGCUGGCGGAGGCCAAUCGGGGACUGCGGGCGGCGGCGCGCCUCUCCGACCAGCUGGAGGCGGGACAGCAGACGAUCGCCGUGCUCAGGGAUGAAGUGGAGAGCCUGAAGGAGGCGAACGACCAGCUGGAGAAGAUGCUCAACAGCAGCGAGAGCAGCCAGACGGACAAGAUCGACAAGAGCCUGAUCAAGAGCCUGGUGAUCGGCUAUGUGGUGAGCGGAAAUGCUGCUGACAAGCAGCAGGUGUUGCGCCUGAUUUCUUCUGUGCUGGAGUUCUCCACCCAGGAGUUUGACAAAGUGGGUCUAAAUAAACAGCAGACCAGCUGGCUGGGAGCCAUACUCGGCGGUGGACCAGUGUCGGGGGGCUCAGGCCCGGGCCGCGGCAAUGAGAAUUUGGUGCAGGCAUUCGUGCAGUUCCUCGAGCAGGAGUCGCAGCCACAGACGGCGGCUCAGCUGCGACCGACCCUCCUUGGCAUGACUGGUCAGGUGGACACGGCCCCCCCGCCCCCACAUCCCCAGCCACACCCACACUCACACCCACACCCACACCCAGCGCAGGCAGCAGCAGGGCAUGCUGCUUCAGCAGUGCCUGCGGGUCAGGACCACGGCUCAGCGCCGCCACUAUCUCUUCCAGCAUCGGGAAUGGGCGCGGGUGCCGUUGCCGGUGCCGGUGCAGGACAGUCAGGACAGCUAACAAUAAGCUCCAAUGAAUUUGCACCCUCACGCAACUCCAGUUCGAUAUUGAAGGAUAUUCUCAGCGACUCCUGAUUCUUGUAGAAAGCCAGACUCCAUGGCCUGCUCUCCGCCCUUGAUUUUGAAUAAUUUUAACAUAUUUUUUUCUAUAUAUUUAAAUUGUAUGCGUGAAAUCUGUAACCCAAGCAUAUACCCAUGUUUAUUUCGGCAUAUAUCUCCGUUCCCCCAACUGUGCAAUGUCUGUGUAUGUGUGGACCAUUAGCAAUUUGUAAAUAUGUAAUAUCCAAUUUGAAUAUGCCUUGGCGGCGGAAGGUAUGCCUGUGCUUGCCUCCCGCCUGCCAUGGACACGCCUUCACAGGGGCCUUGCUAAGAAGUAGCCUAGCCGCCAAUCAAUAAACGAAUCAAAAAAGAAAAAAUAAACUACAUAUAUUGGACAUUUUA
This 4134-nucleotide unclassified non-coding RNA is filed under the name Drosophila pseudoobscura pseudoobscura. Its description in RNAcentral is "GA22886". Lineage: Eukaryota; Metazoa; Arthropoda; Insecta; Diptera; Drosophilidae. The record is from RNAcentral.